UAUGAGUUAGAGGGGAACUUUUCCUCGUAACGGAUGUCUGAUUCCUGAAAAUCAGCCAUUAAGGACACGUCACACAUGUCAAUGAACUGAAAGGGCGUGCCUACACGCGCUUAUUUCCUAGACAAAAACGUAACAAGAAAUUAGAAAGAAGCGAAAAGACGGGGAGAAAUCCGAAAUGGCAGAAGACGAAGGCAAAGCAGAUGCGCAAUUGUUUCAGCUCCUGUCCAACCUUCUCCAGCAAGUAGAGUCAAUAACUAAUCAGGAAGAAGUUGAAUUGCGAUCCAAAAUUGAAGCACUUGGAUUAGAGGUUACAAAAGUUCCUACAAAGUCAACUAAGAGCCUUGAUGAGCUGGAAAUAGCAAGGGAGCUGGAUAAAUUAUCAGCAAAAUUGGAUGAUGUUGAUGAAAUGAUAUCAUCAGCAAUGGCUGCAGAUCCACAGGUGCAGUCAAUCUUGAGUGGUACUGCUGAUGUCUGGAUGCCAGUUAUUACAGCUACUGCUGAUGAGCGGAGAAAUUUUACAGGAUCACUUGAAGAUGAUGCUCAACAAGAGACGGCGAAAAGUGCUGAUUAACUUUUGCAAUCCCCAAUCAGAGAAUUUAAGUUUUUUGUGGGAAGCAGUGCCCUUUUAUGACCUUCUGCAUUUGCUCUAUCUUUCAACAACAAUAAGAUUAAUUUUCUGCUUUCUUGGAAUACAGGCAUGUUGGUUCUGUGGAAUGUUGGUGCAGAGGACCAUAUUUUUUCUCAGACAGAAUGUUUCUCUAUUGGUGACGUAAAAACUAGUCUUUGUUAUGCAUUUGGCCAAACCAUUUGAAGGAGCCAGUGUAGUAAUGGAUAUCUGGUCAUGAAGACCAUUUUCUUGGCCAUUAUGGCUCGUAGGUUAAUUUGUGUACAAGCUCCCCAAACUUCUAGGUGAAAA
Molecule: RNA transcript, 916 nt
Organism: Jatropha curcas
Lineage: Eukaryota; Viridiplantae; Streptophyta; Magnoliopsida; Malpighiales; Euphorbiaceae
Gene name: ecotropic viral integration site protein
Source: RefSeq, a predicted model, not a curated record